GAUGAACGCUGACAGAAUGCUUAACACAUGCAAGUCAACUUGAAUUUGGGUUUUUAACUUCGGUUUGGGUGGCGGACGGGUGAGUAACGCGUAAAGAACUUGCCUCACAGCUAGGGACAACAUUUGGAAACGAAUGCUAAUACCUAAUAUUAUGAUAAUAGGGCAUCCUAUAAUUAUGAAAGCUAUAAGCGCUGUGAGAGAGCUUUGCGUCCCAUUAGCUAGUUGGAGAGGUAACGGCUCACCAAGGCGAUGAUGGGUAGCCGGCCUGAGAGGGUGAUUGGCCACAAGGGGACUGAGACACGGCCCUUACUCCUACGGGAGGCAGCAGUGGGGAAUAUUGGACAAUGGACCGAGAGUCUGAUCCAGCAAUUCUGUGUGCACGAUGAAGUUUUUCGGAAUGUAAAGUGCUUUCAGUUGGGAAGAAACAAAUGACGGUACCAACAGAAGAAGUGACGGCUAAAUACGUG
This 467-nucleotide ribosomal RNA is filed under the name uncultured bacterium. RNAcentral's name for it is "partial 16S ribosomal RNA". It matches the Rfam family "Bacterial small subunit ribosomal RNA", at positions 28 to 507 of the family's 1533-position model. The record is from RNAcentral.